RNAcentral lists this ribosomal RNA (466 nucleotides) under uncultured Anaerolineaceae bacterium. Its description in RNAcentral is "bacterial SSU rRNA". It matches the Rfam family "Bacterial small subunit ribosomal RNA", at positions 901 to 1382 of the family's 1533-position model. Lineage: Bacteria; Bacillati; Chloroflexota; Anaerolineae; Anaerolineales; Anaerolineaceae. The record is from RNAcentral.
UUAAAUGAAUUGACGGGGACCCGCACAAGCAGCGGAGCGUGUGGUUUAAUUCGUUGCUACACGAAGAACCUUACCUGGGUUUGACAUAUAAGUUGUAGGGAACUGAAAGGGACCGACCCUUCGGGGAGCUUAUACAGGUGUUGCAUGGCUGUCGUCAGCUCGUGUCGUGAGAUGUUCGGUUAAGUCCGCUAACGAGCGCAACCCUCGCCGUAUGUUACAAGUGUCAUACGGGACUGCCGGUAAAAGCCGGAGGAAGGUGAGGAUGAUGUCAAGUCAGCAUGACCUUUAUAUCCAGGGCUACACACACGCUACAAUGGUCUGUACAAUUGGUUGCCAAGCCGCGAGGCGGAGCCAAUCCGUAAAGCAGGCCUCAGUUCAGAUUGCAGUCUGCAACUCGACUGCAUGGAGCCGGAGUUGCUAGUAACCGCAGGUCAGCAAUACUGCGGUGAAUACGUUCCCGGGUCUU